This 831-nucleotide long non-coding RNA is filed under the name Struthio camelus australis. RNAcentral describes it as "lncRNA (ENSSCUG00000018156.1)". Lineage: Eukaryota; Metazoa; Chordata; Aves; Struthioniformes; Struthionidae. The record is from RNAcentral.
GAGAGAGAGAGAUUUUUUUAAACUAGAUCAAAAUCUACAAUUUUGUUGUUCAUCAGUGACUGUCUUUCACCCACCAUUAUUUUCCAUACUGAAAGCAGGAUGUAGACUUUUGUGGGUAAUGAGCAGAUAUAAAUACCUAUGAAUCAGAUAAAUUAUGCUGUAUUUCUUCAUUCCAGAGAAGCUGCUACAAUGAAGGAUGUAAGCAGAUGCUGUUGCCUUGGAGACUGCUCAUUCGAGUCUCGAUUGCACCAGGUGGAUGAUAUCUUUCUUCCUCAGGAGUAUGGAGAUGGUGGCUUUAUUCUCAAAAUGCACUUCUGAGAGAAGAGCUAUGUCCUUGCAACUCACUAUAUGGAAAACAUGGCUAUACUUCAGAAAAACCUCUGUUCUAUGUAGAAGUGAUUUAGAAUCCAAGAAUAUACUUACCUGGAAGAAAAAGAACCUAUUCAGUUGGAUCUUCUCCUGCUGUAGGAGAUAUGGUGACAUGUAUCUACUUGUUACGAGUCAUGAAGAUGUUACUGCAGGCUUGGUGCCUCUCUCCCUCUCUGAGACUGAGAGAAACAAGAAUCUAUUGUAUUGUUGAAGUGUAUUACUGGAUAUGCGGAAUCUACAGAAGAAGUAACAGCACAAGUGCACCCAGUAAAGAGUGAGAUAAUUGGUGAGGAAACUGUUUAUGUGCUGCUUGAACUUGAUGAACUCAUGUAUUUUGAACAGGAAAAGUAGUUACUGAUACCUCCAUAAAUUUGUGUUCUCACUAAAGUUGUAUAUUUUUAAAUAUAAGAGUAAAACAGAAGCAGCACACCUAUUCCCUCACAACUAUUGUGUAGUUGCAAG